RNAcentral lists this ribosomal RNA (234 nucleotides) under uncultured bacterium. RNAcentral's name for it is "partial 16S ribosomal RNA". It matches the Rfam family "Bacterial small subunit ribosomal RNA", at positions 100 to 334 of the family's 1533-position model. The record is from RNAcentral.
CGGGACGGGUGAGUAAUGUAUGGGGAUCUGCCUGAUGGGCGGGGGAUAACUACUGGAAACGGUAGCUAAUACCGCAUAAUGUCUACGGACCAAAGCGGGGGACCUCCGGGCCUCGCGCCAUCAGAUGAACCCAUAUGGGAUUAGCUAGUAGGUAAGGUAACGGCUUACCUAGGCGACGAUCCCUAGCUGGUCUGAGAGGAUGAUCAGCCACACUGGGACUGAGACACGGCCCAG